Molecule: unclassified non-coding RNA, 378 nt
Filed under: uncultured Parachlamydiaceae bacterium
Lineage: Bacteria; Pseudomonadati; Chlamydiota; Chlamydiia; Parachlamydiales; Parachlamydiaceae
Description: contains 16S-23S intergenic spacer region
Source: RNAcentral
UCCCGGUUAACCCGGGCAGUCUCAUUAGAGUUCCCACCUUCACGUGUUGGCAACUAAUGAUAAGGGUUGCGCUCGUUGCGGGACUUAACCCAACACCUCACGGCACGAGCUGACGACAGCCAUGCAGCACCUGUGCACCUGUCCUUGCGGACUAGCAUAUCUCUACGCUAUUCAAGUGCAUGUCAAGCCUGGGUAAGGUUCUUCGCGUUGCAUCGAAUUAAACCACAUGCUCCACUGCUUGUGCGGGUCCCCGUCAAUUCUUUUGAGUUUCAGCCUUGCGACUGUACUCCCCAGGCGGCACACUUAUCACGUUAGCUUCGGCACAGCUAGGGUUGAUUCCAGCUACACCAAGUGUGCAUCGUUUACGGCAAGGACUAC